AUUGAACGCUGGCGGCAUGCUUUACACAUGCAAGUCGAACGGCAGCGCGGGCUUCGGCCUGGCGGCGAGUGGCGAACGGGUGAGUAAUACAUCGGAACGUGCCCAGUAGUGGGGGAUAGCUCGGCGAAAGCCGGAUUAAUACCGCAUACGACCUGAGGGUGAAAGCGGGGGAUCUUCGGACCUCGCGCUAUUGGAGCGGCCGAUGGCAGAUUAGCUAGUUGGUGGGGUAAAGGCCUACCAAGGCGACGAUCUGUAGCUGGUCUGAGAGGACGACCAGCCACACUGGGACUGAGACACGGCCCAGACUCCUACGGGAGGCAGCAGUGGGGAAUUUUGGACAAUGGGCGAAAGCCUGAUCCAGCAAUGCCGCGUGUGUGAUGAAGGCCUUCGGGUUGUAAAGCACGUUUGGCGGGAACGAAAAGGACUGUGCCAAUACCACGGUUCGAUGACGGUACCCGCAGAAUAAGCACCGGCUAACUACGUGC
RNAcentral lists this ribosomal RNA (485 nucleotides) under uncultured bacterium. RNAcentral's name for it is "partial 16S ribosomal RNA". It matches the Rfam family "Bacterial small subunit ribosomal RNA", at positions 29 to 508 of the family's 1533-position model. The record is from RNAcentral.